GACGAACGCUGGCGGCGUGCUUAACACAUGCAAGUCGAACGGAAAGACCCUGCUUUUGUGGGGUGCUCGAGUGGCGAACGGGUGAGUAACACGUGAGUAACCUGCCCUUGACUUUGGGAUAACUUCAGGAAACUGGGGCUAAUACCGGAUAGGAGCUCCUGCUGCAUGGUGGGGGUUGGAAAGUUUCGGCGGUUGGGGAUGGACUCGCGGCUUAUCAGCUUGUUGGUGGGGUAGUGGCUUACCAAGGCUUUGACGGGUAGCCGGCCUGAGAGGGUGACCGGCCACAUUGGGACUGAGAUACGGCCCAGACUCCUACGGGAGGCAGCAGUGGGGAAUAUUGCACAAUGGGCGGAAGCCUGAUGCAGCAACGCCGCGUGCGGGAUGACGGCCUUCGGGUUGUAAACCGCUUUAGCCUGUGACGAAGCGUGAGUGACGGUAAUGGGUAAAGAAGCACCGGCUAACUACGUG
Molecule: ribosomal RNA, 468 nt
Filed under: uncultured bacterium
Lineage: Bacteria
Description: partial 16S ribosomal RNA
Rfam family: Bacterial small subunit ribosomal RNA
Source: RNAcentral